Molecule: ribosomal RNA, 443 nt
Filed under: uncultured bacterium
Lineage: Bacteria
Description: partial 16S ribosomal RNA
Rfam family: Bacterial small subunit ribosomal RNA
Source: RNAcentral
CCUACGGGUGGCUGCAGUGGGGGAUAUUGGACAAUGGGGGGAACCCUGAUCCAGCGACGCCGCGUGAGUGAAGAAGUAUUUCGGUAUGUAAAGCUCUGUCAGCAGGGAAGAAAGAAAUGACGGUACCUGACCAAGAAGCCCCGGCUAACUACGUGCCAGCAGCCGCGGUAAUACGUAGGGGGCAAGCGUUAUCCGGAUUUACUGGGUGUAAAGGGAGCGUAGACGGCGGGGCAAGUCUGGAGUGAAAGGCCGGGGCCCAACCCCGGGACCGCUCUGGAAACUGCCCGGCUGGAGUGCGGGAGAGGUAAGCGGAAUUCCUAGUGUAGCGGUGAAAUGCGUAGAUAUUAGGAGGAACACCAGCGGCGAAGGCGGCUUACUGGACCGUGACUGACGUUGAGGCUCGAAAGCGUGGGGAGCAAACAGGAUUAGAUACCCUAGUAGUC